GCGCCUGUAGCUCAGCUGGAUAGAGCAACGGACUUCUAAUCCGUAGGUCGCAGGUUCGAAUCCUGCCAGGCGCACCA
Molecule: transfer RNA, 77 nt
Filed under: Zetaproteobacteria bacterium CG1_02_49_23
Lineage: Bacteria; Pseudomonadati; Pseudomonadota; Candidatius Mariprofundia
Also listed under: 7 other names
Description: tRNA-Arg
Rfam family: tRNA
About the family: Transfer RNA (tRNA) molecules are approximately 80 nucleotides in length.
Source: RNAcentral